This 390-nucleotide unclassified non-coding RNA is filed under the name Hevea brasiliensis (rubber tree). The record is from RNAcentral. Lineage: Eukaryota; Viridiplantae; Streptophyta; Magnoliopsida; Malpighiales; Euphorbiaceae.
AAAUUGUGUUCGCCCAGGAGAUCAUAAUCAUAAUUAAACUAGAAAGGACAAGUAAAAACAUUAGAAGAUCGACAGUGCGGUCUGUGGCACAAAGACAACCGAGGAUCUCAGGUUGAAAAUUGUGAGGACCACCAUGUGAUAUCAAGAUAAUUUUUAAAUUAGGGACAACACUGAAGAAAAAUUCACCAAGACAGGAAUAACAUUUUACAAUACACAAACAUCUAAUCAAUCUAAAUGUUUUGUUCAUACGCGCAAAACUUCCUCCAGAUUUAUUGUCUUAUUAUCUUCUAACAUGAAUGAAUUUUACUAUAAACACUACCCGAGUAUCAGAGAAACCUGUGGUUUCAUGCUCUACCCUUCCUCUUCUCAUCCAAUGCCUUGCUUUGGAAC